Molecule: long non-coding RNA, 2942 nt
Filed under: Phoenix dactylifera (date palm)
Lineage: Eukaryota; Viridiplantae; Streptophyta; Magnoliopsida; Arecales; Arecaceae
Description: long non-coding RNA (PDAC_LNC002505)
Source: RNAcentral
UUCUGUCCAGUACGCGAUUGUGCAUCUCGACUUCUUCAUGUAUAUCACCCGUCAAUCUCUUAAGAAUGUUCACUCUAUCUUGCAGCCCAUCAAUAGCUCUAUCAUUUUCAUGCUCAUCAAUUUCAUGAGAGGAAUAGUCUCGGAUGCCACCCUCCACAAGGCCAUCAAAAGAGCAGCUCUGUUGCUUCGAUAAUCUAUAAUCUCUAGCAAAUAAUCAAAAUCACCAUGAAAAGAAAGAUAUUGCUUAUGUGAAAGUAGAGUAAACGAAAUAUACAAUUCCAUCUCAGGAACAAAAUUUUUUAGCUGAGUAGAAAUACAUCGGAUCAUGUCUGCAAAGAGUCUGGAAACCUGUAUAUCACCAAUACUUUGACAGCAAAUUCAUCUAAAUACAGAUAAAAUUGCAAUUUUGAUUUUCAAGGAAUUCAGAUGAAUUAUACUGAUUACAUAUUGUCCCACUGAACCUUAAUGAUUGUAAAUGUUAAUUUGCCCAUAUAUUUUAGUUAGUACAGAUCAAAUUUAAAGCAAUUAGAUCAAUUUUAUAACCUCUAUAUUAAAAAAAAAAGUCCAAGUAUUUAAUUGACACUGUGUUUCAUUAAUAUCUACAUGCAUAUACACACAUUCAGGUAGAGAAAGAUAUAGAUAUCACUUUGUGACCCCCCCUUUUCCUUUCAUUCCCUACUUCUGCCACAAAUGAUCAUUGAAAUCGUAUUGAACUAAAAAAAAAAAAACUACAACAGGGAUGUCAAGCAUCAAAAAUAUGAUUAUGGUUUCUACAGUUUGGCUAUUUUGGUGGUUUUGGCUCCAUUUUUAGCAAUUUUGGUAAAAAAAAAUUAAAGAUCGACUAAAUCAGGAGAAAUAAAGAGGUUAAAAAAAAAGUUAGAGCUCAUUAUAAAGAAUUGUUUCAGACUUUCAGCUGUAUCAUUUUGGUGUUUUUGCAUUGAGACAGUGAAAAAGUAUCUUUUAAAAUUGUUAUAAAUAGCAUAUUUAUAUCACAAUAUAUAUGGACUAUCUAAAUGCAUAUGGAUGCAAUGCAAAAAGCUUUACCUUCUCCUAAAUCUUGCUAAAAUUUAAGGUAGCAGUAUUCCCAGAAUUUCCCAAAACCCACAAUAUAUCAGUUUACUUCACAACUUCAAAGUAAAAAUGCUUCCAAAAAAUUGAAAGAUAUGAAGAAAUGACAAAAAAUUGCCACAGAUAACUCACAUAUAAUGAAUGUGGCCCCACAAGUUAAUUGGUUCAAAACUCCAAGUGUAGCCAUGAUUUGAAUUUAUUCAGGGAUCAGAACAAAAUCAAAAUGUUUUCAUUUCAUUGUGGAGUUCCAACCAAAACUUUGAACCAUAAUGGAAAUAUGUAUGAUAUUCUACUAUUCCAAUACAGAAACAGGCAUGAUACCAAUACCUUAACCUUAUCUAUACCUUAAUGAAAGCUUCCAACAUUAUUUUUUUUAUUUUUCUAACUCACCACAUGCAACAUCCAACUUUGUUGCCCGCAUCAGGUUAGUCCAUUUGUCUUCAAAUUACAAAAUUUGGUGGUAUAAGAACCCAGAAGUUUAAAAUAGAGUUCUUUUACAAAAUCAAUAAGAGGGAAAAAAGAAGAAUAAAUGUUUAAAAGACUUUCACUGAGCAGAAAACUUAGCAAUUUAGCACUACUAUAAUUCAGAUUACAUAUUUAAAAUAUUUCACAAAAUAAAUCAAAUCAUCUAUAAAUAAUUAAAUAUCAAUAACUAGAAAAGACAUAGAAAUCUUGAUGUGUGAAUCCAAAAUCUCAACAAGGUCAAUGACUACCAAAUCCCGAUAAUUGCAAUUUGCAUUUGCGCAUUCGUGCACGCAUGCGAGAGAAAGAGAAAGAGAAAGAGAGAGAGAGAGAGAGAUUGGAGAUGAACCUUCGUGAAUUCAUGAACCCACUAGAUUCAGACCACAGAAAAUUUUGUUCCUUUUUUCCUCUCCUUUUCUCCUUUAAAAUUUUCUUAUAUUUUUGUCAUCCCUGUGCAAAAGCACAGAUGCCUUGUUCCUCCUUUGGCCAGUCCAACAGCUGGAAGGAUAUGCAUUGUUAGUUAUUAAGUGCUCACAAGCGUGAAACUGCAUGUUAAGGAUGCAGUUCUAGAUAGCAAUUCAUUUACUUAAUAAUGUAAAAUGAAAAACAAAAAAAAACACUAUUUUCCUCAAGCCUUCUCUCAUUUUUCCACGGCAUUAAAAAAGAAAUUCCUCCAAAUACAAAGAAAUGGAAUAAUUUAGGUUUGGCAAAAUCCAAUCGUUCAUGUUAUAACACAGGCAAAGAAACCAAGAUACACAAAAGUUUCCAUUGCUGCAGCAUUUCAAACGAAAGAAAAAAAAGAAAAAGAAAAUUUAACUUUGAAUUAAAAAACAAAGCCCAUGUAAGCUCACAUGAAUUCAUAUUCAAGAAGAAAUAUCAUACUAGAAUAGAACAACGUGAAACAAAAUACACACCAAAUAUCAAAAUCCCCACAUCGCAGGUCUAAUUCAAUAAAAAAAAAUACCGAAAAGACGACCUAAUUCAUCCCUAGGUUUUAUAAAACUUCCCUUAAGAAAUCGAAAUCAAUUCCGUAACUUACAAAUCAAUGUUUUUUCACGUAUCAUCAAGAAACAAAGCAAAACGAAUUCCACCAUUCAAAAUCAUAGAUUUCAAUCGUUCAAUUCGGAACGGAAAAUAGAAAGGAAUGAAAAGAAAAAUAAGCCAAAUUUCCAUCAGAAAAGACAUUAAACGACAAAACAGUGUAUCUCUAAGCAUAAAACGAGACAUCACCAGCGAAACCGAGACCGAAACCGAAACCGAAUUCCGCGAUUCCAAAGCGAAAACCCUUCAAUGUACCAUCUAUCACAAUGGAAGACACGAACUUACCUGUGGAUUGGAAUGCUUCGAUCUCCACCGAGGAGGACGCGCGGGGGGUGGGCGUGAAGAGAGCGAGAUAUGGGGUUCGGGUUCGG